GACAGAUCCCUCCUUCCAGAACCUGCUCUCUGCUUGGUCUCCCCAAGGCUCCCCACUGGCCUGGAGCAGGCAUUGAAAGGGAGAGACUGCCUACCAGUGCUGCCCAGCCCUAACCCAGCCCAUCCCAGCCCAGGACCCUGCAUAGCUACUUCCUGCAACUGGAGCCUUCAGGACAGUGGAGGAAACCCAGAGGAGGGGACAGGGAGCAGGGACCCACUUGCUGCCACUGAACCCAGCACUCCAUGCAGCUACUCCUGCCAGCCCCCAGCUGGUGAACAACAGGUUGGGAAACUGAGACCACAACUUAUGUAGUAGAGGGAGUCAGUACUGAAGCUAAGGUGACUCACAGCAGUCUCCUGGAGAUUUACAUCUAAGUCCUGGAGACUCCAGGGCAAUCCUGCAAGACUGGAAACUUUCAGCAUCAAGUCCCGUCACUUCAGCAACAGGAUAUAGUAGUGCUCAGAUCAACAUGGUUGCCAUCUGUUUACAGGAGACAGAAUAGAAAGGCCCCAGGCCUUCACAGUUAUAGCCUAUACAUCCCCACAUUGCUGUAGUCAUGAUGAUCAUUCACUGACUCAAAAA
Molecule: long non-coding RNA, 582 nt
Filed under: Crocodylus porosus (Australian saltwater crocodile)
Lineage: Eukaryota; Metazoa; Chordata; Crocodylia; Crocodylidae
Description: lncRNA (ENSCPRG00005004457.1)
Source: RNAcentral